This 207-nucleotide ribosomal RNA is filed under the name Clostridioides difficile. Its description in RNAcentral is "partial 23S ribosomal RNA". It matches the Rfam family "Bacterial large subunit ribosomal RNA", at positions 2038 to 2243 of the family's 2925-position model. The record is from RNAcentral. Lineage: Bacteria; Bacillati; Bacillota; Clostridia; Peptostreptococcales; Peptostreptococcaceae.
GAAAUUGUAAUUCCGGUGAAGAUGCCGGAUACCUGCGACAGGACGGAAAGACCCCAUGGAGCUUUACUGUAGCUUGACAUUGGGUCUUGGUACUACAUGUACAGGAUAGGGGGGAGGCUUUGAAACCAGGACGCCAGUUUUGGCGGAGCCAUCCUUGGGAUACCACCCUUGUAGUACUGGGACUCUAACCAUAGGCCAUGAAUCUGG